AAAUUGAAGAGUUUGAUCAUGGCUCAGAUUGAACGCUGGCGGCGGGCCUAACACAUGCAAGUCGAACGGUAACAGGAAACAGCUUGCUGUUUCGCUGACGAGUGGCGGACGGGUGAGUAAUGUCUGGGAAACUGCCUGAUGGAGGGGGAUAACUACUGGAAACGGUAGCUAAUACCGCAUAACGUCGCAAGACCAAAGAGGGGGACCUUAGGGCCUCUUGCCAUCGGAUGUGCCCAGAUGGGAUUAGCUUGUUGGUGGGGUAACGGCUCACC
Molecule: ribosomal RNA, 272 nt
Filed under: Escherichia coli
Lineage: Bacteria; Pseudomonadati; Pseudomonadota; Gammaproteobacteria; Enterobacterales; Enterobacteriaceae
Description: partial 16S ribosomal RNA
Rfam family: Bacterial small subunit ribosomal RNA
Source: RNAcentral